UUGGGAAUAUUGCACAAUGGGCGAAAGCCUGAUGCAGCGACGCCGCGUGAGGGAUGACGGCCUUCGGGUUGUAAACCUCUUUCAGCAGGGACGAAGCGCAAGUGACGGUACCUGCAGAAGAAGCACCGGCUAACUACGUGCCAGCAGCCGCGGUAAUACGUAGGGUGCAAGCGUUGUCCGGAAUUACUGGGCGUAAAGAGUUCGUAGGCGGUUUGUCGCGUCGUUUGUGAAAACCAGCAGCUCAACUGCUGGCUUGCAGGCGAUACGGGCAGACUUGAGUACUGCAGGGGAGACUCGAAUUCCUGGUGUAGCGGUGAAAUGCGCAGAUAUCAGGAGGAACACCGGUGGCGAAGGCGGGUCUCUGGGCAGUAACUGACGCUGAGGAACGAAAGCGUGGGUAGCGAACAGG
RNAcentral lists this ribosomal RNA (409 nucleotides) under bacterium. Its description in RNAcentral is "partial 16S ribosomal RNA". It matches the Rfam family "Bacterial small subunit ribosomal RNA", at positions 355 to 776 of the family's 1533-position model. The record is from RNAcentral.